Molecule: ribosomal RNA, 503 nt
Filed under: uncultured bacterium
Lineage: Bacteria
Description: partial 16S ribosomal RNA
Rfam family: Bacterial small subunit ribosomal RNA
Source: RNAcentral
AUUGAACGCUGGCGGCAUGCCUUACACAUGCAAGUCGAACGGCAGCACGGGAGCUUGCUCCUGGUGGCGAGUGGCGAACGGGUGAGUAAUACAUCGGAACGUGCCCAGUAGUGGGGGAUAGCCCGGCGAAAGCCGGAUUAAUACCGCAUACGACCUACGGGUGGAAGCGGGGGACCGUAAGGCCUCGCGCUAUUGGAGCGGCCGAUGUCUGAUUAGCUUGUUGGUGGGGUAAAAGCCCACCAAGGCGACGAUCAGUAGCUGGUCUGAGAGGACGAUCAGCCACACUGGGACUGAGACACGGCCCAGACUCCUACGGGAGGCAGCAGUGGGGAAUUUUGGACAAUGGGGGCAACCCUGAUCCAGCAAUGCCGCGUGUGCGAAGAAGGCCUUCGGGUUGUAAAGCACUUUUGUCAGGGAAGAAAUCUUUCAGGCUAAUACCCUUGGAAGGAUGACGGUACCUGAAGAAUAAGCACCGGCUAACUACGUGCCAGCAGCCGCGGUAA